This 2082-nucleotide unclassified non-coding RNA is filed under the name Hevea brasiliensis (rubber tree). The record is from RNAcentral. Lineage: Eukaryota; Viridiplantae; Streptophyta; Magnoliopsida; Malpighiales; Euphorbiaceae.
GCAUUAAUUAAUCCAUAAUUAGCCUAAUUGUAAUAGUUUUAAGACAAAAGUACAAAAAAUAAGAUCAGUUAGCCACCAACUGAAUCUCAUAUGUGACAAACUUCUGGGUUCUGCAUUUAUAUCAGCAAUUUGACAAUAAUACAACAACCCUAACACAAAUUUAGAUUCAAAUUAAAACAGUUAAAAAAAGGAGUUCAUAUUGUAAUUUCUUACAAAUACUACAUAUAAUAUCAUGAUUUUGCUUCACUUUCUUUCAACAAAUCUAUACACAGAGCAACCACUUCUUUUCAAUAUAAUACUAGUAAUUCCAACUACUCUUCUUCUUCUUUUUCUUCCACUCGACAAUCGCUUUCUAAUGCCUGCCCACUCAGUUUCAAUAAUUCCACAGACAGGCAAGGUCUACUGACCCAGCUAAUGUAGAAGGAGCCUCUUGAUGAUCAUCAAAUGCCCUCCUUCCUAUUUCAAUAUUUGAAAUGACAGAAGAGAUUUCAGUGUUCUUAUCCGUGGUUAGGCCUGUUUCUUGUGAGGCACUGACCAUCUCCCUUUCUGUUUUGAAACUCUGCUUCCAGUUUGAUCCUUGGUUCUCAAACAAAGCCCUUAAAAUUGAGUGGUCUUGCAUUAAAACAGAACCUGGGUACUGUAAAUUUGCUGAGAAUGGGACAGCAUGAGUAGAGUAGAAUGAAUUUGCAAGUGGAAUCCGUGGAAAAACAUCUGCAGGGUUGGAAGAAACUGCAAAAAGAUUGUUGUUGAAACUAUCAAUGGAUUCUUGUUGAUUUCUUUGAACAUCAAUGGGAUUGGAGAAGCAGGGCACGUAGGAAGAUUCUGCUAAAGGUUUUGUCUUGCCACUGUAAAGUGAAGAAUCCAUCAGUGGUGGUAGACCCGCAGGAUCCAAUUCAUUGCCAAAAGAGCCUAAUCUCACUAGUCCUGAAAUAUGGAUUUUCUUCCCAGCUGAACUCUUUUGAAACACCCUGCAAAUCACCCAUUCAUUCUACAAAACAAGAGGAAAAAAAUUCAGUAUCUUCACAUGAACAAAAACGAGAGAAAACACAGUUAACAAAGAGGAAAAAAAAGAAGAAGUGAAAAACAGAGGAAACAGAGUAGAUAUGUGCACCUUAGCCGUUUUAGGGAGAUUGUGGACAGAGAAUUUACCCUCCAGUCUGUAUUCAUGCAUGACCCAGUUGCUCUUCUCUCCUUUAGGGGCUCUACCCUUAUAGAAAACAAGGGUCUUUUUCAUUCCAAUCAGGGAUUUUCCCCUGUAGAUCUCCUUAUCUUUCCCUGUGGCUUUCCAGUAACCAGCUUCAGUUGCCCUAUUCGUCCUGAGACCAGUUGGGUACUUUCUGUCCCUCACACAGAAAAAGUACCAUUCUUUCUCUCCCAAUUUCGCUUUCCAUGGCAAUUCCCAGGGUUCAGACUUGUUCAAAUCUACAUCUCCAAUAGCUCUAGACGAGAAGUUGAUAUCAAGAACCUUCUUGUAUAGGUAGUGAGAAAUAAGCUCUUCAUCAGUUGGGUGGAAGCGGAAUCCAGGGGGCAAAUCCAUCUGAUCAUGUUCCUUAACAAGUUCAGAAAUGUUUUCCAUUGCUUGAGAAGCUAAAACCAUAUUGUUUACUAAUGUAGAAAACUUUUAUUUCACGGCAACAGAAUCCCAAAUCCAAGCUGAAAAGCUCAAAUCUCAAGACGAAGACAACCCCUUAUAUGAGCUCUAUAUAUCAAAUGGAUAUUAACCAAAUACCUCUAAUUCUCCAUGUUCAAGGAACCUGAAAGUUAGAGAGAUAUUAAAAGAAAAGGCACUACGGAGGAGCAUAAGGCCCUAAAUACUGGUGUCCAUGGCAAGCAAUAAAAGUGGCACGUAAGGCAACUUUGGUAGGUUGUUUUAGCUUCUGUCUAUCAAUUUAUAAUUAACUUUUAGUGGGUAGAAAUUAUAGUUUCUCAACUCAUCUAAAUUUCAUCUUUGAUGCAUGUAAAUCUCAUAAACACCCAAUUUAUUAUAUGUAAAAAAAUAAUUAUCAUUAAGAUAAGACAAACCAAUUAUAUAUAUUUGAAAUGCUUAGGAGAAAAAAAGAAAAGGGUUUUCCAAAACUAAAA